AGAAAAGAAACUGUUUCUUAACUUUUAACUAAAAAAUCUAAGAACAGGUUCUUAAAUAAGGACUUUAAGAAUCAGUUCUUAGCUUUUUUAGUUAAAAAUUAAGAAACAGUUUCUUAACUUCC
This is a microRNA precursor of Brassica oleracea var. oleracea, 122 nucleotides long. It matches the Rfam family "MIR9563 microRNA precursor family". NCBI's taxonomy places the organism in Eukaryota, Viridiplantae, Streptophyta, Magnoliopsida, Brassicales, Brassicaceae. The record is from Rfam.